UUGGUGGUCCUCGGCGGUCAUAGGCAGGAAAUAUUUAAAAAAUUCCAAAAAAAUAAUUAUCAAAUAUUACAACAAAAUUUUAAAAUUUUAAACUUUUAAGCUUUCAAAUUUUUAAAUAUUAUACUAAAAUUUUUAAAAUUUCAAAAUUUUAAAGCUUAAAAUUUCUAAAUACUUAAUUUUUUAGGAAAUAUUAAUUUUUUAAAUAAUUUUAUUAAUAAUUUAGGGUCCCCGAUUAAUCCCUGCCGAGUCUGAUUAAUCGUUUAUUGUUAGUCAACCGUCAAGCUACCACCGAACGAUUUUUACAAACUUGAGUAAUAAUAAAAAUCGUUAAAAGUACAUAAAAUCUAAAAUAAUAAGCUAUUUUUUUACAACUUUUACUGACUUUUUGACAAAAACUAUUAGUGAAACCAAAUAGAGGUACGACAGUGAAAAUCAUCUAUAUUUUAAUAAAUCAAGAUAUUUGUAUGCAAAACUGUAGUUAGAAAUAGUUACAUGGUGGAUUAUAUUUUUAAAUAAACAUAAAGACAUCUAUCGUAACUCUGGUUNUUUUUUUUUUUUUUUUUUUUUUUUUUUUUUUUGCUGAAAUAGAUGUCUCGUAUUGAUAUUCAAUACAAAUAUUGCACAUUUUCACUCCCUAAUGGGUCCUUAACUCUUUUAGCACUAAAAAUUCCAGAAAAGUAAAUUUAACUGUGUUAGAUUUCACCAAGCCAAAUUUGAAAAGGAAGUGAGUGGCUGCUAAAGUAACAUGACCACAUAUUUCCACCUGGAUAGAAGAAACUGAGAACAUAAUAAUUCUAACCUGAAAAAAUAAAGAUAAAAGCACAUUAGAUAGAAUUUAAAUUCAAGUCAACAGAAGUCAAUACACACGGGGUGUAUUCUUCCAUGUCUUGCCACCACAAUUGCAUUCUGUCUUAAAAAAAUUAAAAAUUAAUAAAUGAUAAAAAUAAGUUAAAAUUGUUACAAGAAUAGACAUUUAGAAAUACAUACAUGUUAGAAUAUACCAUUGUCAUAUGCGUCCAUGAAACUUUUUGAUUAGACAUUAUUCUUAAUCGUUUGUCACCGAUCCAUUCUUCCAUGUCUUGUAUUACGAUCAAAUAACUAUAGAAAAAAAUAUGCCAUAUCCAAUCAAGUAUAUGGUAACAUACAACUGAAUUGUUUAGUAUAGUAUAAAGAAUACAAACUAUAUACACAUCAUUUGAAUCUUGCAAAGGAAUACCAAGCUGUUAACAUCAAUGUCUUAAAAGUAAAAGUGUUUUUCUAUGUUUUCGGUAUACCCUCCUUCGAUUCCUUCUGGAAACUCUUCUUCUUCUAUUCAUGGCUAGAACCUGGGCUGAGUGAGACCAUUCGGCCAUGGUUUAGCUGCUUCAACCCAACCAUGAUCCAGUCAGCUAUAAUACAACAACUAAUUUACAAUGAAACGACAUUCACUCGACUCUUUUGGUGCACAAUAGAAUCACAUGCUUCAUCUCCUCUGUACCCAGCCAUGUCUGAACCACCACCUGCCCAAAAAAUAUAUACGAAUAUAAUAUGUCAUUUACAAUAAAUAUGAGAAAAAAUGUAUGUUGCAACUGGUAAUAAAAGUAUAUCUAUGAGUUUAUAUUCAAGCAACAAAUCUGGCAUUGAAAAGUCAAAAUAUACCUCUUGUACUUUGUCUCCAGCUCGAACAACCAAUUUGUACUGAUUCUUGAACAUGGAUGCCAUAUAAACCUGCUAAGAAUUCAUAAAAGACCCAAAUUUAUUCAAUACCCGAUACCUAAAACCAAUCAAGGAAGAAAAAAAAGAUCACCAGAAAUGUUGGGACGGAAGUCUCAUACAAACACUUUCUUCUUUAUUUGGACUAGAAAAGAAACAAACCUAAAAGUGCUAUAUAAACAAACUAGCAAAGACUGUUUCUUUUUGGGACUGAAUAAAUGAUCUUUUCCCUUUAUUCAAUUCCCAUCCAACUGCAUUAGGCACAUGAUCUUGAUCUGGCCAUGCUGAUUCAAAUAAAAGUAAUAAAAAAAGUCUCACGAGUGCCCUUGCCUUAUUUUUCUUUUCUUGAAGACAAGAGGAUCAAAACUUGAAGAGAAUCCAAACCUACAAAGUCUGACCUUUUUCUUGUCAUCUUCUUCAGUGGGUGUUACAUAUUUUAUCCCAAAUCUGAAAACAAAGAAUACAUUGAUAUGAUUAUAUGUCAAAAUAAUAUCUUCUUUUUAAUUUAUGAUGAGUUAUUAUUAUUUGAUGAUAUAUUCAUAAAAACCACUAUGUUGCAGCCUUUUUUUUUCAGCUCCUUCACUUCCUUUGUGACACCAGAACCUUCCGAGCCAGGUGCAGUACCAAACCUGAAGUACAAAAAGUCGUUUUUAUUAAGUAACAACAGUGUUGCAGAAAUCAACAUUGAUAGCCGAUUAAUUGCAUGACAGCCUCAAACCAAUUACGAUUACGAUGCUUGGCAGAAAUUGGUCAUAAUCGGUCAAACUCGGGCUUGUCGGUCCUUAGCGGCCUUGGCGGUCCUCGGCGGUCAUAGGCAGGAAAUAUUUAAAAAAUUCCAAAAAAAUAAUUAUCAAAUAUUACAACAAAAUUUUAAAUUUUCAAAUUUUUAAGCUUUCAAGUUUUUAAAUAUUAUACUAAAAUUUUUAAAAUUUCAAAAUUUUAAAGUUUAAAAUUUCCAAAUACUUAAUUUUUUAGGAAAUAUUAAUUUUUUAAAUAAUUUUAUUAAUAAUUUAGGGUCCCUGAUUAAUCCCUACCGAGUCUGAUUAAUCGUUUAUUGUUAGUCAACCGUCGAGCUACCACCGAACAAUUUUUAUAAACUUGAGUAACAAUAAAAAUCGUUAAAAGUACAAAAAAUCUAAAAUAAUAACCUAUUAUACAACUUUUACUGACUUUUUGACAAAAACUACCAGUGAAACCACAUAGAGGUACGACAGUCAAAAUCAUCUAUAUUUUAAUAAAUCAAGAUAUUUGUAUGCAAAACUGUAGUUAGAAAUAGUUACACGGUGGAUUAUAUUUUUAAAUAAACAUAAAGACAUCUAUCAUAACUCUGGUUUUUUUUUUUUUUUUUUUNUUUUUUUUUUUUUUUUUUUUUUUUUUUUUUUUUUUUUGCUGAAAUAGAUGUCUCGUAUUGAUAUUCAAU
This 3112-nucleotide long non-coding RNA is filed under the name Lactuca sativa (garden lettuce). RNAcentral describes it as "long non-coding RNA (LSAT_LNC004596)". Lineage: Eukaryota; Viridiplantae; Streptophyta; Magnoliopsida; Asterales; Asteraceae. The record is from RNAcentral.